CUAUCUGUCCCGAUUCUAGUUGACUCCGACGCACCUCUUCCGACUUCCAACGUUAUUUUUUGCCGAUUUUCUUCACGUCGUACCUCUACGAACACUUAUCUUGUCAACGGUAAAGGCUUCCUCCCGAGAAUUCGUCCCCUAAUGUUGUCGAGAUCCUGAUUCAGUCCAGCUUCUUCUUGAAUCACGCGCUGUUUCCUGAGCAUUCCCAUUCUUCCUCCGAGCUCAAGUCAAGUACUUGCCACAUAGCUAUCAUUUCAAGGUAAUAUUCGGUGACAUCUCGUUCCCCUUGCCUAGUUUGCCAGAGUUUGUUCUUGAUUUCAAAGAUUUGGGACGAAUUUUCAAAAUUUGAGUAUUUCUCUUUUACUGCAUCCCAUACGUCCUUUGCCUCUGGUAGGAAAAGGUAAGUCUUCCCAAUUGAUGGUUUCAUCGAGUUCACUAGCUAAGCAGUCACCAUAGAAUUCUCUGACCUCCAUUUUUUAAGAAGCACAGUGUUGGUUGAGGCUGGCUUCGGUGUUUCACCAAUUAGGUAACCCAAUUUCCCUUUUCCAUCAAUUAUUAGUUUGAUUGACUAAGCCCAUUCACGGAAAUUCGUCCAUUCAAAUUUUUCAACUGUUAGUUGGGAAGAUGAAUUUUCUCCCGAGCCUAUGGCAGAAGCAAUUUUGGACUCCCCAUUGAGAGAGUCAGAGUUUGUGGAUCCUCUGCUGUUGGCAGGGGCUUUUGACAUGAUUAGGGACAGUUUCACGGCUCUGAUACCAUGAAGAGAGAAACUGUAUAUUUCAUCUUAUUAAAUUUACAACUCACGACAUCUUCUUAUAGUACAAGAAAGGAAAGAACAAAAGAAAAAAAUAAUAAUCCUAGAAUCUAAAAUAUGACAAUAUUUCAACUAUGGAAAGAAUAAAUAAUCUAAAUGGAAAAAUAAAUUAUCUUCAAUCAUUUCGGGAUUUCAACAGUUUAUUUUCUCAAAAUAAAAAUCUAAAAAAGAUAAAGGUAUUCCUGGUGGUCGUUUUUGUCAGCCAGUUAAAAUUUUGACCGUGCGUCAAUGCUAGACUAGAUUUUUAGUGACAAGAGAUGAAAAGAGAGACAAUGAGAGAGUGAGAGGGGAUAAAUUUUUUAGCCUAGUUGAUAGUGGUUAUUGGCACUCACUUUGCUGCUUGAAUUGGUUAUUAAAGAAUACAAGAAAGAUGGGAGGUGAUGCGAGUUGUCCCUUUCAAUCUCAUGUUAUUGUUCUUUGUUAUAGAGAUGUUAUAAGCCAUGCCUUACAGUUUUUAAAGUUCAGUUUUACACAGAUGAAGAGUGUAGAUAAUUGUGAGUGAUUUGCUAUUGAUAUAUUGUACCAUAUUUAGAUUAUUCCUUUGAUAGAUAGUCCAUAAUUUGGGCGAUUUAUUUCUUUCCUAAUUAAGAGAUUUUUUUUCCUUUUUUAUCAUAACAGUUAUAAUUAAAAUAGAAGCCGUAUGAUUGUAAAUAAACCAAGAAAUACAGAAUUCUUCUUCUGAUUUCAUGGUAUCAGAGCUAGGACCGUCCUAAAACCUAGUUACCUCAAUGGAACAAACUGUCGUUAAUAGCAAAUAGUCGACGACCUCCAAAUCACUUAGCAGCGAGGCAGAAGUUGCCUCCACCAUGAACUUGAUUGGAGUACAUAACUCAUCCUUUCAACUCAUGGUGGAAAAACUCAAUGGGAAAAACUAUCGAGAAUGGGCUCAAUCAAUCAGGUUGGUGGUUGACGGAAAGGGAAAGAUUGGUUACCUUAACGGUGAGACAAAACAGCCAACAGACGCAGGCCUUCAAAAAAAAAAUGGAAAUCUGAGAACUCCAUGGUAAUGGCGUGGCUCGUAAAUUCCAUGAAGCCCUCAUCGGAAAAACCUACCUCUUCAUGCUAACGGCGAAAGACAUAUGGGACGUGGUUCGGGAGAUGUAUUCCAAUAGUGAAGAUUCUUCCAAAAAUUUUUAAAUUAAAACCCAAUUGUAGCAAAUGAAGCAAGGUGAGAGGGAGGUCACUGACUAUUAUAUGGAGAUGACGACUCUCUGGCAAGAACUUAACUUGAGUGUUGAAGAAGAGUGGAAGUGCGUAGAAGACGGUGUUGGGUAUAGGAAGUGACUUGAGAACGAAAGGGUGUAUGAACUUCUAGCUGGAUUAGACCGUGACCUGGACGAUGUGAGAGGACGAAUUCUAGGCCGGUGUCCUCUACCGACAACCCACAAGGUGUUCGUCGAAGUCAGGAGGGAAGAAAGCUAUCGAUCGAUUAUGAUGAAAGAUGAGAAAUCAAUUGGGCCUGUUGAAGUUGAUGGAUCAGCCCUUAUAACAAAAGGAUUAGGGCUUAACGAGAAUAAAGAAAUUGGGCCUGAAGGUUUAAAUUCCUGAAAAUUCUUAAAUGGGCCAAAAAAGGUUUGGGCAUAAUGAAUUAACUCAAAUGUCUAGAGGAGAAGCAAAAAUUGGACCAUGCCCGAAACAACAAAAUGGACGAACACGAGAAAUCACAGCUAUCAAGCCUCGAUUGACUCCACCGGAACAAAAAUUAAUCCUACUUCAAGCGGUGCAUUCAGCCAUGAACAAUUAGAUCGACUCUAUAAAAUGUUCUCCAGUUUCCAAACAUCUUGUCUUUCAAGUUCAUUGGCUCAUAAAGGUAAUCUUUUGAAAGUAGUAAGUAGUACCACCCAACCCAAAGCCCCUUGGAUUAUCGGCUCUAGAGCGUCUGAUCACAUGACAGGCUCUCAUCAAUUUUUUUUUCACAUAUUUACCUUGUGCCAGCAAUAUCAAAUUGAAAAUUGCCGAUGACUCACUCUCACCUGUUGCAAGAAAAGGAAGUAUCUGAACCUCUAACUCUAUAACACUUCUAUUCUCCAUGUUCCAAAUUUGUCCUGCAAUCUAUUAUCCAUUAGCCAAUUGACAAAAACUUCAAAUUUCUUUGCUAACUUUCUUCCAUCCUACUUUAUUUUUCACAACCUAUCAUCGGGGAAGACGAUUGGAAGUGCUAAGAAAUGUGAGGGAUUUUACUACUUUGAUGAGACCGACGUGAGUAAACAAUGUCAACUUGCUAAUUGUGAUUCUGCUUUUAUUCCUAGAGAUAGUGAAAUUCUGUUAUGGAACUAUAGAAUGGGACACCCCAAUUUUCGAUAUCUAAAGCAUGUAUUUCCUUUCAUGUUUUCACAUAAAAUGUCUGUCAACAUUCAAUGCGAAGUUUGUGAACUUGCAAAACAUCAACGUUCUUUAUUUCCAAAAUCCACAUACAAACCGUCGAAACCAUUCACUUUAAUCCACAUUGAUGUAUGGGGUCCUUCACGAAUUCUAAAUCGAACUCACACAAAAUGAUUUGUUACAUUUAUUGACGACCAUACUCGGAUUUGUUGGGUAUAGCUAUUAAAAGAAAAGACCGAUGUUCAAUUCAUAUUCAUCAAUUUCCAUCAGGUCGUUCAAACCCAAUUCCAAACAUAAAUUCAAAUUCUGCAUACUGAUAAUGGCACAGAAUACUUCAAUCACACUCUAAAAGACUACCUUCAAAAGAAUGGAAUUAUAUAACAAAGUUCAUAAGUCGACAUUCCCCAACAAAAUGGGAUUGCCAAACAAAAAAAUAGACAUCUUCUUGAGGUUGCUCGUGGCUUAAUGUUCACCACAAAUAUGCCGAAAAAGUUUUGGGAAGAUGCGAUUUUAAUAUCAGCCUACCUCAUAAACAGAAUGCCUAGCUGCACUCUUUCGUUCGAAUCCCCUCUUCUAACAUACCUCUCAAAGUAUUUGGGUGUAUGGCAUUUGUUCACCUAAAUUCCAAUCAUCGAAAUAAACUUGAUCCCCGUGCACUUAAAUGUGCCCUUAUGUGGUAUUCUCCUACUUAAAAGGGCUACAAGUGCUAUGAUCCAAUUACAAAAAGGGUAUUUGUUAGUCUUGACAUCACUUUUUUGAGAAGACCCUUAUUUCCAAGAAUCAUCUCUUCAGGAUGAGAAUUUGAGUGCAGAUAGAUUCUUGGAAAUCACUUUAUUCCCCUCUGAAAAUAUUGAACCACCAUCUUAUUCCAAUAUGCCACUUACGGAAGAAAAAACUCAAGGAAAAGAAAAUGUGGAUAGACAACAUGACAAGGAGAAUUAGUUUACUCACGAAAGCCAAAACCUAGGUACGAGGAGAACAUUACACCUUUCGUACCAAAAGAGUCAGAAUCGGUGAUAGCUCCAGAUUCCCAUGAGUACUCUUCCAAGUCCAAAUCUUCUAAUAUUAAUUUACUUAUUGCUCUCAGGAAACAAACUCGGUCUUGCACUCUCCACCUUGUCUCAAAAUUUGUAUGGUAUAAUGCUCUAUCUGCAAACUUUCAUGUUUUUACCUCUAAUCUUGUCAGCACAAAAAUUCCAAAGAAUAUACAAGAGGUCUUGGAAGCUCUCGAAUGGAGGAAGGCAGUCGUGGAAGAAAUGUGGGCACUAGAGAAAAAUGAAACUUGGUAUGUGACGGAGUUACCUAAAGGAAAGGGACCUAUUGGUUGCAAAUGACUUUUUACUGUAAAAUAUAAAGCUGAUGGGACAAUAGAACGUUAUAAAGCUUGCCUUAUUGCGAAAGGAUAUACCUAGACAUAUGGCAUUGAUUAUAUAGAGACGUUCGCACCCGUAGCCAAAUUAAACACUAUUCGGAUUCUCUUAUCUUUAGUAGCUAAUUUAGAUUGGACUCUCCAACAAUUGGAUAAUAAGAAUGCAUUCCUGAAUGUGGAAUUAGAAGAAGUCUUUAUGACAUUACCGCCAGAGGUCGGAGACAGGAAUGAUGAAAACAAAGUGUGUAAACUCAAAAAAUCUCUAUACGGUCUCAAACAGUCAUCGAGAGCAUGAUUUGACAGAUUUGCAAAAGUAUUGAAAAGUCAAGAAUUUCGACAAAGACAGUCAGAUCAACCAUGUUUUUCCAAGUAUCGAAAGAUGGGAAAAAGACAAUCUUAAUUAUUUAUGUCGACGACAUAAUCCUUACUUGAGAUAAUACAGUUGAAAUGGAAAGAUUCGAGAGAACCCUUGAAAAAGAAUUCGAAGUGAAUGAUUUAGGGCAGAUGAGGUAUUUCUUGGGAAUGGAAUUUGCUAGAUCAAAAAAGGGAAUUAGUUUUUCUCAACGAAAAUAUGUUCUUUAACUCUUGACUGAAACUAGCAUGUUGGGUUGUAAACCAAGGGACACUCCUAUUGAUACAAGCAGGAAAAUAGAAGAAAUUGAAAACCCGAUUGACAAAGAUCAAUAUAAACGACUAGUUGGCAAGUUAAUCUACCUAUCACAUACCGGGCCUGAUAUUGCAUUUGCAAUUAGUGUGGUAAAUCAACAUAUGCAUUCUCUAAAGGAAGUUCAUCUAGAGGCAGUAUAUAAGAUUCUAGAUAUCUUAAAGGUUCUUCCGGAAGAGGACUUUUGUUCAAGAAAAGUGAAAGGAAGUAGAAAUAUUCACAGAUGCUGAUUGGGUAGGAUCAAUAUAAGACAAGAAAUUAACUAUUGGCUAUUGUACCUUUGUAUGGUGAAACUUGAUAAUUUGAAGAAGCAAGAAACAGAAUGUGGCUGCUAGAAACAGUGCCGAAGCUGAGCUCACAACCAUUGCUCAAGCAAUAUUUGAAGGAUUGUGGUUAAAGAAUCUUAUGGAAGAAUUACAUAUUGCUGUAAAACUUCCAAUCAAACUCUUGUGUGAUAAUAAGGCAGCUAUCAACAUCUCCCUUAAUCCAGUUCAACAUGAUAGAACCAAACAUGUAGAAGUUGAUCGACACUUUAUUAAAGAAAAAAUUGAAGAUAGAGUUAUUUGUAUGACUUAUAUUCCUAAAAAAAAAAAAAACAAACCGCAGAUAUCUUCACCAAAGGACUACUACAACAAAGUUUCGAAAACUUCAUCUGCAAGUUGAAUUUGGUCAACAUUUACCAUCCAAUUUAAGGGGGAGUGUGGAUAAUUGUAAUCGAUUUGCUAUUGAUAUAUUGUACCAUAUUUAGAUUAUUCGUUAAAUAGAUAAUCCAUAAUUAGGGUGAUUUAUUUCUCUCCUAAUGAAGAUGCUUUUUCAUUUUUUAUCAUAUUAGUUGUAAUAUAAAUAAAGGUCGCAUGAUUGUAAUAAACUAAGAAAUAUAGAAUUCUUCAUCUUAUUUCAAUGAGAAAAUCCAUAUUUCGAAAAUGGGGUUCACAUGGGAAUCUAUUAUACCAACUAUGGUAUCUCAAAUGAAACCAGGAAUGCUAAUACUCUUUGAUGCAGAUAAUUUUAGGCUAGAUGAGGAUGCACCAGGUGAAGGGACCUGAGAGCAUGGUGCGGAAGCCUUAUAAAAUUCUUGUAAUAAGAAUUAUGUAAUAAAUAAAAACGAUAUUUGAACAAUUAUGUCAUGUAUACGUUGAAUAAUAAUAGAUUGUUGUUGAAAAGUGUACAAUGCCUACAUAAAUAUAGGUAAAAUUAUUCCCUACUUCUACUAAUACUUGAAAACUAAUAAAAGGAAAUUAAAAUAAAUCCCAAUCUUAAAGAAAUUAGAAAUCCUAUUUUAAACAAGAAAUAAGAAUAAACAAAAUAAACCUAUUACAACUAGAUAUCUUAUUAUAAUUAUCUAACUUUUAUCCUAUUUACAAUAGGAUUAUCCUAUAUUAAUCUCUCCCACUUGAAAAAAUUUGUCCUCAAUUUUUGUUGAAGAAAAUAAUCCUUGAUAAUUUGUGUGUUUUCGAACUUGGCUAAGACUCAAGGAAAUUCUCUAGCCAUACGUUUCCGUGUUCUAUGCUUAUUGAAAUAACUAACAUACAUAGUAGUUAAAGUCUUGUCAGCUUGCUUCUCCAUGAGCUCGCGAUUCCUUUCAAGACUCAACUCAAUCAGCAUUUGCGUGAUGUUGUGAUGGGUUUCGUCGAUCCCCUCGAUUUUUUGUUCAUGUUUGUCGACUCUCCGUUCGUCGUCUACGGUUCAAUUACCUUCAGGACCAUCGUCAGCCAUCAGAUUAAGACAAUUUCCUUGCUUUGAUACCAAUUUUGGUGUGGGAGCAUUAUGAAAUUCUGGUAAUAAGAAUUAUAUAAUAAAUAAAAAUGAAAAAUCAUGUCGUGGAUAUAUUGAAUAAUUAUUGAUUAUUGUUGAAAAGUGUACAAUACCUCUAUAAAGGCAAAAUUAUUCCCUACUACUAAUACUUGAAAACUAAUGUAAGGAAAUUAAGAUAAAUCCUAAUCCAAAAGGAAUUAGAAAUCAUAUUCUAAACAAGAAAUAAUAAUAAGAAGAUAAACCUAUUACAACUAGACAUCUUAUUAUAAUUAUCUAACUUUUAUUCUAUUUACAAUAGGAUACUCCUAUAAGUAUUUUACUUAUUCUGUCCAGUCUCUUAGUUAUUAUGCUUCCUUAUUCAAUUAAAAAUGUUGGACUUGCUUUCCUCAUCCCGUCAGGACUCAUAGUUGGGUUUUAUUAUUUCAUGUUCUUUGUCAUUUAGUGUAGGGUGGGACGUUUGAUUUAAUAAAUAACAGAAAAAGUGUUCUGUUCGAAAUUUGAUCUUGCUUUAUUGCUUGAUUGUCAUGGUUGUGGCUUUUCUUCUUUUUCCCUUGUACUAGGCUCCACCUUAAGAGUGAAAGCACCAUGGUGUAGAGAUGGCCUUUUAUUUUUUGUUUGUAUCAUUAAAUUCUGUUAUGCACUUUCUGAGAUUGAAAUUAUUUAUUGAUCAAACAUUAGUGUCUAUAUUUUAGGGAACCUCUCAUUACUAAUGUCAUGGGGAGGAACUUGAUAAUUCAGG
This 7660-nucleotide long non-coding RNA is filed under the name Olea europaea subsp. europaea. The record is from RNAcentral. Lineage: Eukaryota; Viridiplantae; Streptophyta; Magnoliopsida; Lamiales; Oleaceae.